This 88-nucleotide non-coding RNA is filed under the name unclassified sequences. RNAcentral describes it as "chrB RNA". It matches the Rfam family "chrB-a RNA". The record is from RNAcentral.
GGCAUGGGGUUAUCCGCGACGACCUCGUGAGGCGUAAGCCCAAUGAUCGCGUCCGAACGCCUCAACGCAUGAGGAAGGACGCGUUAUG